RNAcentral lists this ribosomal RNA (484 nucleotides) under uncultured bacterium. Its description in RNAcentral is "partial 16S ribosomal RNA". It matches the Rfam family "Bacterial small subunit ribosomal RNA", at positions 30 to 507 of the family's 1533-position model. The record is from RNAcentral.
AUUGAACGCUGGCGGCAUGCCUUACACAUGCAAGUCGAACGGCAGCACGGACUUCGGUCUGGUGGCGAGUGGCGAACGGGUGAGUAAUGUAUCGGAACGUACCUUUCAGUGGGGGAUAACGUAGCGAAAGUUACGCUAAUACCGCAUAUUCUGUGAGCAGGAAAGCAGGGGAUCGAAAGACCUUGCGCUGAUUGAGCGGCCGAUAUCAGAUUAGCUAGUUGGUGGGGUAAAGGCCUACCAAGGCGACGAUCUGUAGCGGGUCUGAGAGGAUGAUCCGCCACACGGGAACUGAGCCACGGUCCAGACUCCUACGGGAGGCAGCAGUGGGGAAUUUUGGACAAUGGGGGCAACCCUGAUCCAGCCAUGCCGCGUGAGUGAAGAAGGCCUUCGGGUUGUAAAGCUCUUUCGGCCGGGAAGAAAUCGCAUAGGCUAAUACCCUGUGUGGAUGACGGUACCGGAAUAAGAAGCACCGGCUAACUACGUG